AAGUCGUAACAAGGUUUCCGUAGGUGAACCUGCGGAAGGAUCAUCAAUGAAAUUCUUCAUUUCAACCAAGGGAGGACCGCGGUCUUCUCCAGUCUACUCAACGUUGCUUGGCAGUGUGUGUUGCUUUUGUAGCGAUACAAAACACACGCAUUCUCAUACACUUCAAUGUUUGUUUUUCUUCGCGAAAAACGAUACCUUUUUUAAGAUUUACCGAACCACAAUCAAUACAACUUUUAGCAAUGGAUCUCUAGGCUCUC
Molecule: unclassified non-coding RNA, 257 nt
Filed under: fungal sp.
Lineage: Eukaryota; Fungi
Description: partial internal transcribed spacer region
Rfam family: Eukaryotic small subunit ribosomal RNA (bases 1-46)
Source: RNAcentral